RNAcentral lists this unclassified non-coding RNA (241 nucleotides) under uncultured fungus. Its description in RNAcentral is "sequence contains ITS2". The stretch from base 1 to 52 matches the Rfam family "5.8S ribosomal RNA", at positions 103 to 154 of the family's 154-position model. The record is from RNAcentral. Lineage: Eukaryota; Fungi.
AACGCACAUUGCGCCCUCUGGUAUUCCGGGGGGCAUGCCUGUUCGAGCGUCAUUAUAUCUCUCAAGCUCUGCUUGGUAUUGAACCAGACCCUUAAAAAGUUGGUUUUAAAGUCAUUGGCAGUGCCUACUGGUUCUCAAGCGCAGUAAUAUCAAUCUCGCUUUCUGAUUCUGUAUUAGUACUAUGCCAAACCUAAUUUUUUAAUUUGACCUCGGAUCAGGUAGGGAUACCCGCUGAACUUAA